GAUUAAGUUAUUAAGGGCGCACGGUGGAUGCCUUGGCACUAGAAGCCGAUGAAGGACGUUACUAACGACGAUAUGCUUUGGGGAGCUGUAAGUAAGCUUUGAUCCAGAGAUUUCCGAAUGGGGAAACCCAGCAUGAGUUAUGUCAUGUUAUCGAUAUGUGAAUACAUAGCAUAUCAGAAGGCACACCCGGAGAACUGAAACAUCUUAGUACCCGGAGGAAGAGAAAGAAAAUUCGAUUCCCUUAGUAGCGGCGAGCGAAACGGGAAGAGCCCAAACCAACAAGCUUGCUUGUUGGGGUUGUAGGACACUCUAUACGGAGUUACAAAGGACGACAUUAGACGAAUCAUCUGGAAAGAUGAAUCAAAGAAGGUAAUAAUCCUGUAGUCGAAAAUGUUGUCUCUCUUGAGUGGAUCCUGAGUACGACGGAGCACGUGAAAUUCCGUCGGAAUCUGGGAGGACCAUCUCCUAAGGCUAAAUACUCUCUAGUGACCGAUAGUGAACCAGUACCGUGAGGGAAAGGUGAAAAGCACCCCGGAAGGGGAGUGAAAUAGAACCUGAAACCGUGUGCUUACAAGUAGUCAGAGCCCGUUAAUGGGUGAUGGCGUGCCUUUUGUAGAAUGAACCGGCGAGUUACGAUUUGAUGCAAGGUUAAGCAGUAAAUGUGGAGCCGUAGCGAAAGCGAGUCUGAAUAGGGCGUUUAGUAUUUGGUCGUAGACCCGAAACCAGGUGAUCUACCCUUGGUCAGGUUGAAGUUCAGGUAACACUGAAUGGAGGACCGAACCGACUUACGUUGAAAAGUGAGCGGAUGAACUGAGGGUAGCGGAGAAAUUCCAAUCGAACCUGGAGAUAGCUGGUUCUCUCCGAAAUAGCUUUAGGGCUAGCCUCAAGUGAUGAUUAUUGGAGGUAGAGCACUGUUUGGACGAGGGGCCCCUCUCGGGUUACCGAAUUCAGACAAACUCCGAAUGCCAAUUAAUUUAACUUGGGAGUCAGAACAUGGGUGAUAAGGUCCGUGUUCGAAAGGGAAACAGCCCAGACCACCAGCUAAGGUCCCAAAAUAUAUGUUAAGUGGAAAAGGAUGUGGCGUUGCCCAGACAACUAGGAUGUUGGCUUAGAAGCAGCCAUCAUUUAAAGAGUGCGUAAUAGCUCACUAGUCGAGUGACACUGCGCCGAAAAUGUACCGGGGCUAAACAUAUUACCGAAGCUGUGGAUUGUCCUUUGGACAAUGGUAGGAGAGCGUUCUAAGGGCGUUGAAGCAUGAUCGUAAGGACAUGUGGAGCGCUUAGAAGUGAGAAUGCCGGUGUGAGUAGCGAAAGACGGGUGAGAAUCCCGUCCACCGAUUGACUAAGGUUUCCAGAGGAAGGCUCGUCCGCUCUGGGUUAGUCGGGUCCUAAGCUGAGGCCGACAGGCGUAGGCGAUGGAUAACAGGUUGAUAUUCCUGUACCACCUAUAAUCGUUUUAAUCGAUGGGGGGACGCAGUAGGAUAGGCGAAGCGUGCGAUUGGAUUGCACGUCUAAGCAGUAAGGCUGAGUAUUAGGCAAAUCCGGUACUCGUUAAGGCUGAGCUGUGAUGGGGAGAAGACAUUGUGUCUUCGAGUCGUUGAUUUCACACUGCCGAGAAAAGCCUCUAGAUAGAAAAUAGGUGCCCGUACCGCAAACCGACACAGGUAGUCAAGAUGAGAAUUCUAAGGUGAGCGAGCGAACUCUCGUUAAGGAACUCGGCAAAAUGACCCCGUAACUUCGGGAGAAGGGGUGCUCUUUAGGGUUAACGCCCAGAAGAGCCGCAGUGAAUAGGCCCAAGCGACUGUUUAUCAAAAACACAGGUCUCUGCUAAACCGUAAGGUGAUGUAUAGGGGCUGACGCCUGCCCGGUGCUGGAAGGUUAAGAGGAGUGGUUAGCUUCUGCGAAGCUACGAAUCGAAGCCCCAGUAAACGGCGGCCGUAACUAUAACGGUCCUAAGGUAGCGAAAUUCCUUGUCGGGUAAGUUCCGACCCGCACGAAAGGCGUAACGAUUUGGGCACUGUCUCAACGAGAGACUCGGUGAAAUCAUAGUACCUGUGAAGAUGCAGGUUACCCGCGACAGGACGGAAAGACCCCGUGGAGCUUUACUGUAGCCUGAUAUUGAAAUUCGGCACAGCUUGUACAGGAUAGGUAGGAGCCUUUGAAACGUGAGCGCUAGCUUACGUGGAGGCGCUGGUGGGAUACUACCCUAGCUGUGUUGGCUUUCUAACCCGC
Molecule: ribosomal RNA, 2231 nt
Filed under: Staphylococcus aureus
Lineage: Bacteria; Bacillati; Bacillota; Bacilli; Caryophanales; Staphylococcaceae
Description: partial 23S ribosomal RNA
Rfam family: Bacterial large subunit ribosomal RNA
Source: RNAcentral